Cajanus cajan (pigeon pea) is the source of this 316-nucleotide non-coding RNA. Lineage: Eukaryota; Viridiplantae; Streptophyta; Magnoliopsida; Fabales; Fabaceae. The record is from RefSeq and is a predicted model, not a curated record.
AAAUCGAGAACUAACAAAAACAAGGAUGAUGCAGGCUCUAAGAGAGGAGCUAGCAUCUGCUGAGCGAAGAGCAGAAGAGGAGUGCGCUGCACAUAAUGCUACCAAAAUGACUGCGAUGGAAAGAGAAGUAGAAUUGGAGCACAGAGCAGUUGAGUCAUCCACUGCACUUGCAAGGAUACAGGUAAUGUAAGCACUUGCUAUGGUUUAAUUUUUAAAUGGGAUGCAAAUCAUAUUAAAGCACUGUUUUCUGUUUGGAUUUUUCCAUAUGUCAUUAGUUUAUUGUUUAUAUCAUAAUUGAAUUGACAACAUUGUGGUA